RNAcentral lists this ribosomal RNA (497 nucleotides) under uncultured bacterium. RNAcentral's name for it is "partial 16S ribosomal RNA". It matches the Rfam family "Bacterial small subunit ribosomal RNA", at positions 28 to 507 of the family's 1533-position model. The record is from RNAcentral.
GAUGAACGCUGGCGGCGUGCCUAAUACAUGCAAGUUGAGCGCUGAAGGUUGGUACUUGUACCGUCUGGAUGAGCAGCUAACGGGUGAGUAACGCGUGGGGAAUCUGCCUUUGAUCGGGGGACAACAUUUGGAAACGAAUGCUAAUACCGCAUAAAAACUUUAAACACAAGUUUUAAGUUUGAAAGAUGCAAUUGCAUCUCUCAAAGAUGAUCCCGCGUUGUAUUAGCUAGUUGGUGAGGUAAAGGCUCACCAAGGCGAUGAUACAUAGCCGACCUGGGAGGGUGAUCGGCCACAUUGGGACUGAGACACGGCCCAAACUCCUACGGGAGGCAGCAGUAGGGAAUCUUCGGCAAUGGACGACAGUCUGACCGAGCAACGCCGCGUGAGUGAAGAAGGUUUUCGGAUCGUAAAACUCUGUUGGUAGAGAAGAACGAUGGUGAGAGUGGAAAGCUCAUCAAGUGACGGUAACUACACAGAAAGGGACGGCUAACUACGUG